CAAUAGCGUAUAUUUAAGUUGUUGCAGUUAAAAAGCUCGUAGUUGGAUUUCGGGUGGGACGCAGCGGUCUCGCAUUGCGUUUGUACUGCUGCAGCCCUCCUUCUUGCCGGGGGCGGCCUCUCGGACUUCACUGUCUGGGGGUCAGAAUCGGCGAUGUUACUUUGAGUAAAUUAGAGUGUUCAAAGCAAGCUUACGCUCUGAAUCUAAUAGCAUGGGAUAACACGACAGGACUCUGGCCUAUCGUGUUGGUCUAUAGGACCAGAGUAAUGAUUAAGAGGGACAGUCGGGGGCAUUCGUAUUCCGUUGUCAGAGGUGAAAUUCUUGGAUUUACGGAAGACGAACAUCUGCGAAAGCAUUUGCCAAGGAUGUUUNCAUUGA
This 378-nucleotide ribosomal RNA is filed under the name uncultured eukaryote. Its description in RNAcentral is "partial 18S ribosomal RNA". It matches the Rfam family "Eukaryotic small subunit ribosomal RNA", at positions 592 to 976 of the family's 1831-position model. The record is from RNAcentral.